ACAUUUCUUUAAGGUUUAUAUUUAAGGUAGUUCCUGCUCAAUGAUUAUUUAAAUAGCUGCAGUAAUUUGACUGUACAAAGGUAGCAUAAUAAUUAGUCUUUUAAUUGAGGACUAGAAUGAAUGGAUUUAUGAGAUAUAUAUUUUAUUUAUUUUAUUUUUAAAAUUUAAUUUCUUAGUUAAAAAGCUUAGUUAUUUUUUUGGGACGAAAAGACCCUAUAGAACUUUUUAUUAUUUUAUAUAUUUUAGAAUAAAAUUAUUAUAAAUAAGUAUUUUGUUGGGGUGACAAAUAAAUUUAUACUUUAUUUUUUUUUAUCAUUGAUUUAUGUAAUUAGGAUCCUUAUUUUUGAUUAAAAGUUUAAGUUACCUUAGGGAUAACAGCGUAAUUUUAAUGGGAAGUUCAUAUUUAUAUUAAAGUUUGCGACCUCGAUGUUGAAUUAAGAUAAAUAUAAGGGGUAGGUUCUUUAUUAUUUAAGUCUGUUCGACUUUUAAAUUCUUACUUGAUCUG
This 505-nucleotide ribosomal RNA is filed under the name Bundera emeiana. RNAcentral describes it as "partial 16S ribosomal RNA". The stretch from base 371 to 505 matches the Rfam family "Bacterial large subunit ribosomal RNA", at positions 2473 to 2607 of the family's 2925-position model. The record is from RNAcentral. Lineage: Eukaryota; Metazoa; Arthropoda; Insecta; Hemiptera; Cicadellidae.